This is a non-coding RNA of Biomphalaria pfeifferi, 505 nucleotides long. NCBI's taxonomy places the organism in Eukaryota, Metazoa, Mollusca, Gastropoda, Planorbidae. The record is from the annotation of a GenBank genome assembly.
UUAUAAUAUUUCUAAUCGCACAGAUUUAUUAUGUCUAGGUCAAUCAUACAUAUAAUCACAUGAAUGAUCCAAACACAUUGAUACAAUGACACUUAAUACAAGCUUGUUUUGUUUUUUUAAAGUAUUUUUGUGUUUUUGUGUCUUCCAUUGUUUGUGAAGCUGUGAUGACAGGUUCUAGAAAAUGUUUAACGUAACACACUUUAUGAACAUCUAAACACCAUUGCAGUCUACAAAGCAAAUAUAGGCAGGCAUACAGGGCACAGGCUACUAUGUAGAAUUAUUGAAUACAUCUGCACGUACAUUCAAAGAUACAUUGUAUAUAACACCGUACUUUCUUAUAGUAACUUCAACAAGACUGAGAAUACACGGCCAAGGUAUGAUGUAUCAGUGAUACUUAUUGUAACUUCAACGAGACUGAGAAUACACGGCCUAGUUAUGAUGUAUCAGUGAUACUUGUAAUAACUUCAAGAAGACUGAGAAUACACGGCCAAGGUUUGAUGUAUCA